AAAAACAGACGAAAUGCACCACAGCUUUCUUACAGUUCUGUAACGCUGACUCCGGGAUCCUCCUGUACAUGGACGUAGCUGUCAGAGGACUGGCAUCCCUGAGGUGGACUGGAUUAUUCAAUAUGACCCCCCCCUACCAGAUGAUCCCAAGUUGACUCCACUAGCUCUGAGAAGGUGACAUUGUGCAUUGGAGUUCUUUAUGGAUCUGGUCUUGGGUUGUGGAAUUUACCCCCUUCUCGCUGCUCAUCCAUCGGGUUGGCAGGACGGCGCGGGGGAUUGAUGGAAAGGGCCACUGCUGAUUCUGAGGCCAGAGGAGCUGGGAUUUCUGCAUUACCUAAUGCAGGCUAAGGUACCUCUGAGUGAGUUUGAAUUCUCCUGGAGUAAAAUCUCAGACAUCCAAUCUCAGCUGGAGAAACUAAUAGAAAAGAAUCACUAUCUGCACAAGUCGGCCCAGGAAGCCUACAAAGCCUAUAUCUGAUCCUACAACUCCCACUCGCACAAGCAGAUAUUCCACGUGAACACACUGGACCUGUUCAAGGUCUGCCUGUCCUUCGUCUUCCUGAUCCCACCAUAUGCUGACCUCAAUGUGAGCAGCAGCGGAGGAAGGAGGAUCCAGAAACGAGGUGGUGGGGGCGGCUUUGGCUACCAGAACUCCAAACGUCUUCAGAAAGCCAAGAUCUUCAAACACAUUAACAAGGGCGGUCGGAGCCAGGGGCGUCAGUUCACCUGCUGAUUAUCUCCGAAGAUUUUAUGAUACGAACCCUCCACCUGAUGAUUCUCCUUUUACAGUAAAGUUGUAUUUUUUCAGGGAACUGUUAUUGGCAUUUGUUAGACGUCCCUUGUAAACUGGGCCGAAACCAAACUAAUGAUUGUAUCGGGCUCUGAGCACCCGUUGCCGUUCUGAUUGUGUUUCAGAGUAGUUUAUUCUCCUUCCCACACCUAAAGUCCUCCAUAUCUAGUGGAGUUAGGUCAUCAGUUUUGGUUGGUAAAUGUAAGGUAAUUCAGGACCAAUCCCUUAUUACAUUUAGCUCAGCGACAUCUACAGCCGUUGAUACCCAUUCAUAGGAAAUGGUGGACAACGUGCUUAUUUUGUGAUCAAAUUCUCAGAUCUAGGCCGUGUUCACUGGAUGAAUGAGAAAAUCACCAUGACUAGGGAUGUCAAGAACAGAACCACUUGUUCCCUAAGUACUGAAGACCUGCAGAUGGGGAAGACCUCAGAUAACUGAUGGAUGGGUGAUAACUCAGUGCAGGGUUAUACGCUGACCCCUGUAGAUGGGACCCUUGAACCAAAUAUAUGGGGAGUUGAAUCCGGGUGCCCGGCGUCA
Molecule: long non-coding RNA, 1325 nt
Organism: Pseudophryne corroboree (corroboree frog)
Lineage: Eukaryota; Metazoa; Chordata; Amphibia; Anura; Myobatrachidae
Exons: 4
Source: RefSeq, a predicted model, not a curated record